This 72-nucleotide ribosomal RNA is filed under the name Candidatus Phytoplasma fragariae. RNAcentral describes it as "partial 23S ribosomal RNA". The record is from RNAcentral. Lineage: Bacteria; Bacillati; Mycoplasmatota; Mollicutes; Acholeplasmatales; Acholeplasmataceae.
AAAGGAACUAAGGGCGCACAGUGGAUGCCUUGGCACUAAGAGCCGAUGAAGGAAGGGCGAAUUCGGAGCCUG